Molecule: ribosomal RNA, 627 nt
Filed under: uncultured Pseudomonadota bacterium
Lineage: Bacteria; Pseudomonadati; Pseudomonadota
Description: bacterial SSU rRNA
Rfam family: Bacterial small subunit ribosomal RNA
Source: RNAcentral
GCAAGUCGCUACGAGAAAUCCCGAGCCUUGCUUUGGGAGAGUAAAGUGGCGCACGGGCGUNGNNNCGCGUGGGUAACCUACCUUCGAAUCUGGGAUAACUCNUUUAAAAGCGGUGCUAAUACCGGAUAAGACCACGGCCGUUUCGGCGGCAGAGGUAAAAGCUGACCUCUCCAUGGAAGUUAGCGUUCGAGGACGGGCCCGCGUCCUAUCAGCUUGUUGGUGGGGUAAAGGCCUACCAAGGCAGCGACGGGUAGCUGGUCUGAGAGGAUGAUCAGCCACACUGGAACUGGAACACGGUCCAGACUCCUACGGGAGGCAGCAGUGAGGAAUUUUGCGCAAUGGGGGAAACCCUGACGCAGCAACGCCGCGUGGGUGAAGAAGGCUUUCGGGUCGUAAAGCCCUGUCAGGUGGGAAGAAACUCUUCAGUACUAAUAAUGCUGAAGCCUGACGGUACCACCAGAGGAAGCACCGGCCAACUCCGUGCCAGCAGCCGCGGUAAUACGGAGGGUGCAAGCGUUGUUCGGAAUCAUUGGGCGUAAAGAGCGUGUAGGCGGCUUGGUAAGUCAGAUGUGAAAGCCCUGGGCUCAACCCAGGAAGUGCAUUUGAAACUACCAGACUUGAGUACGG